This 82-nucleotide small RNA is filed under the name Marmota monax (woodchuck). Lineage: Eukaryota; Metazoa; Chordata; Mammalia; Rodentia; Sciuridae. The record is from RNAcentral.
GCCGGGUGCGGUGGCACAAACCUGUAAUCCCAGCUGCUCGGGAGGCUGAGGCAGGAGGUUGAGAGUUCAAAGCCAGCCUCAG